UUCAGCUGUGGGGCCACAGAAGGCAGGACUCAGGGAUGGUCUCCACCAUGGCUUGGUGCCCUCUCCUGCUCACCCUCCUCGCUCACUGCACAGGAUCCUGGGCCCAGUCUGUGCUGACUCAGCCUCCCUCAGUGUCUGGGAACCUAGGACAGAGGGUCACCAUCUCCUGCACUGGAAGUAGCUCCAACCUUGGCAGUAAUUCUGUGUACUGGUACCAACAGCUCCCAGGAAAGGCCCCUAAACUCCUCAUCUAUUAUAGUAGCAAUCGACCCUCAGGGGUCCCUGAUCGAUUCUCUGGCUCCAAGUCCGGAACCUCAGGCUCCCUGACCAUCACUGGGCUCCAGGCUGAAGAUGAGGCUGAUUAUUACUGUGCAGCAUGGGACGAUAGUCUCAAUGGUCCCACAGUGCUGCAGGCCUGUGGGGAAGUGAGACAAGAACCCCUGUGCCAUCUGUGAGCUGGGCGAACACUA
Artibeus jamaicensis (Jamaican fruit-eating bat) is the source of this 470-nucleotide non-coding RNA. Lineage: Eukaryota; Metazoa; Chordata; Mammalia; Chiroptera; Phyllostomidae. The record is from the annotation of a RefSeq genome assembly.